RNAcentral lists this ribosomal RNA (467 nucleotides) under uncultured bacterium. Its description in RNAcentral is "partial 16S ribosomal RNA". It matches the Rfam family "Bacterial small subunit ribosomal RNA", at positions 28 to 506 of the family's 1533-position model. The record is from RNAcentral.
GACGAACGCUGGCGGCGUGCUUAACACAUGCAAGUCGAACGGAAAGGCCCUGCUUUUGUGGGGUGCUCGAGUGGCGAACGGGUGAGUAACACGUGAGUAACCUGCCCUUGACUUUGGGAUAACUUCAGGAAACUGGGGCUAAUACCGGAUAGGAGCUCCUGCUGCAUGGUGGGGGUUGGAAAGUUUCGGCGGUUGGGGAUGGACUCGCGGCUUAUCAGCUUGUUGGUGGGGUAGUGGCUUACCAAGGCUUUGACGGGUAGCCGGCCUGAGAGGGUGACCGGCCAAAUGGGGACGGGGAUACGGCCCAGAUUCCUAGGGGGGGCAGAAGUGGGGAAUAUUGAACAAGGGGCGGAAGCCUGAUGAAGAAACGCCGCGUGGGGGAGGACGGCCUUCGGGUUGUAACCCGCUUUCGCCGGUGACGAGGCGUGGGGGAGGGUAAUGGGUAAAGAAGCACCGGCUAACUACGU